Long non-coding RNA from Micropterus salmoides (largemouth bass), 369 nucleotides. RefSeq lists it as uncharacterized. NCBI's taxonomy places the organism in Eukaryota, Metazoa, Chordata, Actinopteri, Centrarchiformes, Centrarchidae. The record is from RefSeq and is a predicted model, not a curated record. The transcript is spliced from 3 exons.
CCCUCACUCCUCCACUGGAUCCGCAACUUGAGGUAUUCCACGCAGUUGGAUCCUGACCCCUGUUGGCCACACAUUGUGCCUCUAAUUAGUGUGUACAUGCUGCUUAUUAACUGCAACACCUUAAAACUCAGCAACAGUAAACUCCUGCCUCUGACAUCCUGCCUCCCUCUCCCCUUGGCCAUCACCAUGGUGACCUUCUCUCCACUCCACCUCUACAGGGUCACCUACUUCCUGUUGGCAGCACUAGCCCCGCUGGCCUUGUGUUGUCUUCUCUGACGGUAUCUGGCAGCUUUCAGUCCACAUCUCCACCAUAACAAGCCUUUCUCUAAAGCGCAGCUUUACUCACUGAAGCUGGUCAAGACUGAUUUG